Molecule: ribosomal RNA, 361 nt
Filed under: Nicomache minor
Lineage: Eukaryota; Metazoa; Annelida; Polychaeta; Maldanidae
Description: SSU rRNA
Rfam family: Eukaryotic small subunit ribosomal RNA
Source: RNAcentral
CAAGUCUGGUGCCAGCAGCCGCGGUAAUUCCAGCUCCAAUAGCGUAUAUUAAAGUUGUUGCAGUUAAAAAGCUCGUAGUUGGAUCUCGGGUCCAGGCCUGUGGUUCCUUUAACGAGGACACUGCUUGCCCUGACCUACCUGCCGGUUUUCCCUUGGUGCUCUGGACUGAAUGUCUCGGGUAGCCGGAACGUUUACUUUGAAAAAAUUAGAGUGUUCAAAGCAGGCAUUUCGCCUGAAUACUGGUGCAUGGAAUAAUAGAAUAGGACCUCGGUUCUAUUUUGUUGGUUUUCGGAACUUGAGGUAAUGAUUAAAAGGGACAGACGGGGGCAUUCGUAUUACGGUGUUAGAGGUGAAAUUCUUG